RNAcentral lists this long non-coding RNA (849 nucleotides) under Columba livia (rock pigeon). RNAcentral's name for it is "partial uncharacterized LOC102092696". Lineage: Eukaryota; Metazoa; Chordata; Aves; Columbiformes; Columbidae. The record is from RNAcentral.
CGCAGGGAACUUGACCUGGAACUCUGUGAAACAAAAGGAACUCUUCUGGUGUCUGGCAAAACCCCUGGAACCAGAUGUGACACAAACAGCUGCUGAAGCACUGAAAAAGGCAGAGGCUGUGUUUGGGAAAUCAGACUCCCUAUGCAGUGCUAAGGCACUGAUUGCAAUUUGUAUUUAUUCUUUUGUCUUUAUGUACUGGUAUUAACUUUUUUGAUCCAAGCAGAGAUGGGACGUAUGGAUUCCUAAGUCUGGCUCCCGGCAGUCUCAGGAACCAGCAUUCCAACUCUACACAUAGCUGAAAUUCACCUAAAACCUGUGAGUUAUACAAGGAAAGGCACACACUGACAACAUCAUUCUUCACAAACAGAAAGUGUCACUUUGAAUACAACAAAUUCAAUGAACUUUACGGUCAAUAGACACAACGCUUUUUGCUUCUCCAUUUCUGUUUUCAUCUCAGGAACAUGUGCACCGGCUGGAGACCCGACACAGGAGGCAACUGCUUGCCUUGCAGCAAGGAAAUCAAGGCAGGAACGAGCUCAGGUCCAUUCUGUCUGUAGCGUUAUGGACUGAAUCACAGACCCACCCUGACUCGCUGUGGUACAGACUUCCAACUCAUGUAACAGGCAAGCAGGGGAAAAUCCACAUAUUUAGGAAUAGUGUGAAGCUCAAGCAUUUCAGGGGAGUGCAAGUUCCUUCAUACAAUCACCAAAGCUUUUUCUUCUCCUCUCAGCUUCCCUCUAGACAGCCCAUGUUGUUCACUCUGUCCAUUACAGCAUCAGCUUUUUCCCCCACGGCUGCACUAGAGGCAAAAGCUCAAUUUACAGAAUUGCCAUAAGGAGAAAACAUUUU